UGGGGAAUAUUGCACAAUGGAGGGAACUCUGAUGCAGCGACGCCGCGUGAGUGAAGAAGUAUUUCGGUAUGUAAAGCUCUAUCAGCAGGGAAGAGAAUGACGGUACCUGACUAAGAAGCACCGGCUAAAUACGUGCCAGCAGCCGCGGUAAUACGUAUGGUGCAAGCGUUAUCCGGAUUUACUGGGUGUAAAGGGAGCGCAGGUGGCAUGGCAAGCCAGAAGUGAAAGCCCGGGGCUUAACCGCGGGACUGCUUUUGGAACUGUUGUGCUGGAGUGCAGGAGGGGUAAGCGGAAUUCCUAGUGUAGCGGUGAAAUGCGUAGAUAUUAGGAAGAACACCGGUGGCGAAGGCGGCUUACUGGACUGUAACUGACACUGAGGCUCGAAAGCGUGGGGAGCAAACAGGAUUAGAUACC
RNAcentral lists this ribosomal RNA (414 nucleotides) under uncultured bacterium. RNAcentral's name for it is "bacterial SSU rRNA". It matches the Rfam family "Bacterial small subunit ribosomal RNA", at positions 355 to 786 of the family's 1533-position model. The record is from RNAcentral.